UACGAAGUCCUCCAACAGCUCCACAAAAGCAUUAUUGACGUUUACAUAGUGCAGUUCACGAGGGCAAUGUCUCCGAACGCUUCACAAGGCAGGGAUCAGAUGCCAAGUAGGGAGGAAGAGGGAAGACGACUGUCGGUGCAGUCAAAGAGUGUUCGGAAUUUCCCAAUUGGGUUCUUCAAAAGGGCACGAUAAAGCCGCGUGCAAAGCUGGUGCCUCCUGUUGGAAUCCUGUAAGAGAACAGAAACAGUGAUGACAAAACCUGGAGAUGUGAGGCUGGGAGCUACUAUCACAGCAGAAUGGCACAAUACUGGGGACUGCUUUUCCUGGUAUGAAGAGUUAAGGGGAUCAUCAUUGACCAUGUGGCCUUCAGUGACCUAUGUGUCUGCACACCAAUGUCUCUCUGCUCCGCUUAUCAUUUAUGAUGGGUUUACUUUCUGUAUUCUGAACACUAAAAUGUAACAUUUUACAUUAUUAAACUCAUCUGCCACUGA
Long non-coding RNA from Callorhinchus milii (elephant shark), 491 nucleotides. RefSeq lists it as uncharacterized. The transcript has 3 exons. Lineage: Eukaryota; Metazoa; Chordata; Chondrichthyes; Chimaeriformes; Callorhinchidae. The record is from RefSeq and is a predicted model, not a curated record.